Molecule: long non-coding RNA, 2034 nt
Filed under: Citrus x clementina
Lineage: Eukaryota; Viridiplantae; Streptophyta; Magnoliopsida; Sapindales; Rutaceae
Description: Citrus clementina (C. clementina) long non-coding RNA (CCLE_LNC003034)
Source: RNAcentral
GUUUUGACGGGUGGGUUUGGGCGGAUUUGCGGGUUUGCGGGUACAAUUGCCAUCCCUAAUUACAAUGUACGUGUAAUACACGGUUAAUUAAUUAACUAUUUUCUAAUUUCUUUAUCCUUCCCUGCUUGUACGAAAUUGUAGUACGAGUAUCAGUGGAUGGCAGAUGAUGAUUCCUAUUGCUUGCUUUGCUGCAACAGAGUACAAAUUUUGGACUCAAACAUAUCUUUCUUUCCGAAUUUACUAAUUAACAGUUAUUUAUCCACUGAUUUCAUUUUCUUUCAUAAGUUUCCUUGUACUAAUUUUGCGGAGUUUGGAUUAGCUAAUGAGCUAAGAGCUGGGAAUGGUAAGGCUGCAAAAUUUGCAACCAAAGCGACAUUUAUUUCGUUAAAAUUUGCAAACAAAAUUUGUUUCCCACGAAUGAAAAAUUAUGAUAAUUUUUUAAUUUAUUUCAUUUUGCAUAUAAAGAUAACAUAAAUUAAAGCGACAUUUUUUAUCAAGGAGAUGCAGCUGCAUUCAUGGGAUCCCGAGGCACUCGGUCACUCACUUCAUUUUUCAUUCAUUGUAUUCACUUAAUCCGGUGAUUUAAAAAUAGUAUUUAUGUCUCAAUAAUCACAUGUCAAUUUACAUUAAAAUUUUAAAUUUUAUUAUUAUUCUAUUGUCUCCUAUAGGCAAAUUUUGUGACUCCAAUCAACCAUUUGAUAUCAAGAUUAACAUCAAUAAUUAUAAAACAAACUGUAUUAUAUUAAUACUUCAAUAAUUAUUCAAGAGACAUACGGAUUGUUUAUAAAUUUCAACAUAUGAUGAUAAUACAAUCCACAUCCAGAAAUACUCAACAAAUCAAGCAAUAUGAUACAGACCAUAAAUAUAAUCCUCACACAUAUAAUAUAAUCAUUAAUUACAUGAUCAUCAAUUAAUAGAAGAGAACAAAGCUUUAGCCACUGCCACCUGCAUGAAAUUGGCUCCUGGGAAUACCGUGGUGGUUAGUUAGAUCGAUUGCAGGGGCCUCAGGUUUCACAUUCUGGUCGUCCUCCUCCGCCAGUACCCGGCCGCUACUCCUAUGAUGCACGUCAUAGGAAUAGGUUUCGGUAUUUAAAGCCCUUCCGUUUGCAGCCAAGCAAGAGCACAGCAGUACCGCAAGCACCACAGCAAGCCCUAAAAGCCUCAUUCUUCCACUCAUUUGAUCUCUUCUCCGAUCACUGUUAUAUAAAGUUCGGACAAAAUUCAAGUUUAAUAAUGCAUCUGAGUCUCAUUUAUAUAUACGAUAAAAUUUAUAACAAAUUUUUUUUUUCUUUUCAAAAAAGAAAAAAGCAAUAACAAGAAGAUUAUAGAUGGUCAGAUAAUAACAAUAUCUACGCCUAGUUGGAGAUGCAUUUAGGAUAUUUACUUACCUAGCUAAAGAUUGAGAGCUAAGAGUUUGGUGAUGAUUUGUGCGGAGGAAUGAGAAGUUUGAACUCUUUAUAUAGAGGCAUAUGCUAGGGUUAAUCGACGGAUAUAAUAUAAAUUAACUUGGUGGAAAACAUUUUGGGUUUUCCCGGUGCAUGCUCUCUCAUCCGUUGAUUCUUGCUACGUAUGUAUUUGCUCUAACAUAAUUAAAUGAGAGAUACACAUGUUAAGAAUCAAACAGAUAACAGAGUAUAAACAAAAAAAUAUCCAAGAUUUUCUCAAUUUGUUGAUGGAUUUAUCCACCAAGAGAGGCAAUAUUAAGUGGGAUGGCCAUAUUAUCUAAUAAAAAUUAUUUUUAAAACUAUUAGAAUGAUAGAGUUAAGCAAAACGAUUUCUCCAAAUCAGCACUAUGAAUAGGAAAUUUCCACAUUAGCAAAUAGACAAUUCUAAACCAAAAGUCAACUAGGCACAAGGGAGAAGCUGUUGCAUUGUGAUGUCAAACCAUACUCUUAAUAAGUAACUCAUACGUCUUCAAACCUUCCUUAGAACUUAACAUUUGUGAAGCGGGUUUAAUUCUGGCGAGAUAUUUGGAGGUUGUUCUGGAUUAAAGAUUAAGCACUUAUUGCCAAAUUAAUUAAAUUAUAGUUUUGG